RNAcentral lists this ribosomal RNA (309 nucleotides) under uncultured bacterium. Its description in RNAcentral is "partial 16S ribosomal RNA". It matches the Rfam family "Bacterial small subunit ribosomal RNA", at positions 504 to 807 of the family's 1533-position model. The record is from RNAcentral.
AGAGACAGCAGCCGCCGCGGUAAUACGAAGGGUGCAAGCGUUACUCGGAAUUACUGGGCGUAAAGCGUGCGUAGGUGGUGGUUUAAGUCCGUUGUGAAAGCCCUGGGCUCAACCUGGGAAUUGCAGUGGAUACUGGGUCACUAGAGUGUGGUAGAGGAUAGUGGAAUUUCCGGUGUAGCAGUGAAAUGCGUAGAGAUCUGGAGGAAUACCGAUGGCGAAGGCAGCCAUCUGGCCUAACACUGACGCUGAGGUACGAAAGCAUGGGGAGCAAACAGGAUUAGAUACCCCCGUAGUCCCUGUCUCUUAUAC